UGGGGGAUAUUGCACAAUGGGCGAAAGCCUGAUGCAGCGACGCCGCGUGGGGGAUGAAGGCUUUCGGGUUGUAAACCUCUUUCGCUAUCGAACAAGGCCCGCUUAGGGUGGGUUGAGGGUAGGUGGAGAAGAAGCGCCGGCUAACUACGUGCCAGCAGCCGCGGUAAUACGUAGGGCGCGAGCGUUGUCCGGAAUUAUUGGGCGUAAAGGGCUUGUAGGCGGCUUGUUGCGCCUGCUGUGAAAACGGGGGGCUUAACUUCGCGCGUGCAGUGGGUACUGGCAGACUUGAGUGUGGUAGGGGUGACUGGAAUUCCAGGUGUAGCGGUGGAAUGCGCAGAUAUCUGGAGGAACACCGAUGGCGAAGGCAGGUCACUGGGCCAUUACUGACGCUGAGGAGCGAAAGCAUGGGUAGCGAACAGG
This 420-nucleotide ribosomal RNA is filed under the name bacterium. Its description in RNAcentral is "partial 16S ribosomal RNA". It matches the Rfam family "Bacterial small subunit ribosomal RNA", at positions 355 to 776 of the family's 1533-position model. The record is from RNAcentral.